Molecule: ribosomal RNA, 482 nt
Filed under: uncultured bacterium
Lineage: Bacteria
Description: partial 16S ribosomal RNA
Rfam family: Bacterial small subunit ribosomal RNA
Source: RNAcentral
UGGGGAAUAUUGCACAAUGGGCGAAAGCCUGAUGCAGCGACGCCGCGUGCGGGAUGAAGGCCUUCGGGUUGUAAACCGCUUUUGAUUGGGAGCAAGCGAGAGUGAGUGUACCUUUCGAAUAAGCACCGGCUAACUACGUGCCAGCAGCCGCGGUAAUACGUAGGGUGCAAGCGUUAUCCGGAAUUAUUGGGCGUAAAGAGCUCGUAGGCGGUUUGUCGCGUCUGGUGUGAAAGUCCAUCGCUUAACGGUGGAUCUGCGCCGGGUACGGGCAGGCUAGAGUGCGACAGGGGAGACUGGAAUUCCCGGUGUAACGGUGGAAUGUGUAGAUAUCGGGAAGAACACCAAUGGCGAAGGCAGGUCCCUGGGUCGUCACUGACGCUGAGGAGCGAAAGCGUGGGGAGCGAACAGGAUUAGAUACCCUGGUAGUCCACGCCGUAAACGGUGGAUGCUGGAUGUGGGGCCCAUUCCACGGGUUCCGUGUC